CGCGUAGGCGGUGGAACAAGUCACAUGUGAAAUACCAGGGCUCAACUCUGGGGGGGUCGAUGUGAAACUAGCUUUACUUUGAGUGCAGUAGAGGGAAGGCGGAAUUCCUGGUGUAGCGGUAAAAUAGCGUAGAGAUCAGGAGGAACACCGGUGGCGAAGGCGGCUUUCUUGGGCGUGUAACUGACGCUGAGGCGCGAAAGCGUGGGGAGGCAAACAGGAUUAGAUACCCUGGUAGUCCACGCGGUAAACGAUGAUUACUAGGUGUAGGGGACGGCAGGUCUUCUGUGCCGGAGCAAACGCAAUAAGUAAUCCGCCUGGGGAGUACGGCCGCAAGGUUGAA
Molecule: ribosomal RNA, 340 nt
Filed under: uncultured bacterium
Lineage: Bacteria
Description: bacterial SSU rRNA
Rfam family: Bacterial small subunit ribosomal RNA
Source: RNAcentral